GUUGACUGGGCUCUGCUGGAUGGUUCUUCUGCUCUAUGUGAUGUUGGCUGGGGCUGCAGUCACCUGGGAGUACUACCGUACAGGAAAAUCCAAGCUAUCUCUCUUACGUGUCUGGUACCUUGGCAGUGAUGGCUGGAAGGCUGGACUCAGAUGGGGUACUUGAGCAGCUAGGAUUUUUUCUAUUUCUACAUAGUCUCAAGGCCUCUGUCUUUCCACAUGGCCUCCCCAGCAGAGGAGUUGGACUUCAUACAUGGCAGCACAGAGCUCCCAAAAGUGCAAAAGGGGAGACUUUGAGACUUUUCUAAGGCUUUGGCCUGGAACUGAUAUGCCUCUAUCCCCUCCCACCCUGCUCUGUGCCCUGGAAGGCUGAUCUGAAUAGACAGCAUCAACAGGCUCUGUGACGUCUCUCUUCUUCGGGUUUGCCCAGUGAGAGCUGUGGAUCAGUCACAUGACACGUUUUGGCCAAUGGGAUGUUUGUAGACACCCUGAGCAGAGGACUGGAAUGGAGUUUCCUUGGGUUGGCCUCUUGGCCACUCUCUCCAAAAUGAGAGGCCCAUGAAGCAGACCUGAAUCUGACCCAAAGCCUGAAGCAGAGCAGGCCCAGUCAACUCAGAAGGAAGAAAAACAAAUGUUUGUAGUUUGUAGCCACUGAGGUUUGUGGGUUGUUUGCAUAUACCAUUAUUGCAAUCAGGGAGUGUAAUUACAGGUAUCUCAGGAGACAGGAGACUGGAUGGUAAUGUCAAGGUAUGUAUGAAGGGUCACAGGGCUGCUGGGUCCUUUCUUCAAAGCCACAGCUUCUCCUCUCCAUGUCUCUCCACACCUCUCUCUCUCCAGGUUCCAAUGACUACUCAAGUGCUCCCUAGGACACCCUGCUGUUGCCUCAAUAGAAUCUCUUUAUUAGAUUAUACUUGAAUUACCCAGUUUGAGAGUGUUUUGUUUCCUGCCUAAACUCUGAAUGACAAAAAAAAAAAUCCUCAUAAUCAUCUUGUUAUAUAGGUACUAUUAUCCCAUUUUACUAACAACAAAAUUGAAAAUCAGAGAGGUUAAGUAACUUGUACAAGGUCACGCAGCUAGUAAGUGGCAGAAUUGAGAUUUGAACCCAGGCAGGCUGGAAUCAUGCUCACUUCACUAUGCCUCUGUGGAUCCAUCCUGUUAUAAUUCCUUUUUCCAGCUCCCUAUGGCUAGACAUUUAGGUGGUAUAUAUAAGCCUGUUAUGACAAACAUUGUUUUGUUUGCCUGUUUUUCCAUUAUAAAUGCUUCUGCAAUGAGAAAUCUCUGUAUAAAUAUUUGCUCAUAUUCAGGGUUAGGAAAUAUUCUAAAAAUGAAAUAGUUGGAUUAAAGAAUAUGAAUGUCUCUGUUCCCUAACCCAUUUUCUUUCUUUUAAAAAUUAUUUCCUUCUGACUAUAAAAUUGAUCAGGUACAAUUAAAAAAUUCAAGCAUUACAGAAGUAAAUAUCAUAGGACACAAACAUCCCUGUAAUUCUAUAGCCUCAAAAAAACCAUUGACCAAGAUUUGGAAAGUUCUCCUUAGUAGCAAUUAAUAGUAAUUGUUAUUUCUUUUUGUGUGUUUUGAGACAGGAUCUCACUCUGUCACCCAGGCUGGAGUGCAGUGGUGCAAUUGCAGCUCCCUACAGCUUCUACCUCUGGGUUCAAGUGAUCCUCCCACCUCAGCUUUCCAAGUAGCUGGAACAACAGGCCCCCACCACCAUGCCCUGCUAAUUUUUGUAUUUGUUGUAGAGACAGGGUUUUGACAUGUUGCCCAGGCUGGAGUAAUUGUUAAUUUUCAUUAUUAAAAAAUGAGUAAAUGUGUACUGUAGAAAUGCAU
Molecule: long non-coding RNA, 1824 nt
Organism: Pan troglodytes (chimpanzee)
Lineage: Eukaryota; Metazoa; Chordata; Mammalia; Primates; Hominidae
Exons: 3
Source: RefSeq, a predicted model, not a curated record